CACGGGGGGCGCAAGCGUUGUUCGGAAUCACUGGGCGUAAAGGGCGUGUAGGCGGUCAAGUAAGUGGAAUGUGAAAGCCCCCGGCUUACCCGGGGAUCUGCAUCCCAAACUGCUUGGCUUGAGUACGGGAGAGGAUGGAGGAAUUCCUGGUGUAGCGGUGAAAUGCGUAGAUAUCAGGAGGAACACCCGUGGCGAAAGCGGCUCUCUGGGACGGUACUGACGCUGAGACGCGAAAGCGUGGGGAGCAAACAGG
This 253-nucleotide ribosomal RNA is filed under the name uncultured bacterium. RNAcentral describes it as "partial 16S ribosomal RNA". It matches the Rfam family "Bacterial small subunit ribosomal RNA", at positions 524 to 776 of the family's 1533-position model. The record is from RNAcentral.